Molecule: ribosomal RNA, 474 nt
Filed under: uncultured bacterium
Lineage: Bacteria
Description: bacterial SSU rRNA
Rfam family: Bacterial small subunit ribosomal RNA
Source: RNAcentral
ACUCCUACGGGAGGCAGCAGUGGGGAAUUUUGGACAAUGGGGGCAACCCUGAUCCAGCCAUCCCGCGUGUGCGAUGAAGGCCUUCGGGUUGUAAAGCACUUUUGGCAGGGAAGAAACAGCCUGGGCUAAUAUCCCGGGCGACUGACGGUACCUGCAGAAUAAGCACCGGCUAACUACGUGCCAGCAGCCGCGGUAAUACGUAGGGUGCAAGCGUUAAUCGGAAUUACUGGGCGUAAAGCGUACGCAGGCGGUUUGUUAAGCGAGAUGUGAAAGCCCCGGGCUCAACCUGGGAACUGCAUUUCGAACUGGGCAAACUAGAGUGUGAUAGAGGGUGGUAGAAUUUCAGGUGUAGCGGUGAAAUGCGUAGAGAUCUGAAGGAAUACCGAUGGCGAAGGCAGCCACCUGGGUCAACACUGACGCUCAUGUACGAAAGCGUGGGGAGCAAACGGGAUUAGAUACCCUGGUAGGCGUAGU